UCGGGAAUUUUGGGCAAUGGGCGAAAGCCUGACCCAGCAACGCCGCGUGAAGGAUGAAGUAUUUCGGUAUGUAAACUUCGAAAGAAUAGGAAGAAUAAAUGACGGUACUAUUUAUAAGGUCCGGCUAACUACGUGCCAGCAGCCGCGGUAAUACGUAGGGACCAAGCGUUGUUCGGAUUUACUGGGCGUAAAGGGCGCGUAGGCGGCAAUUCAAGUCAUCUGUGAAAUCUCCGGGCUUAACUCGGAACGGUCAGAUGAUACUGCUUUGCUAGAGUGCAGAAGGGGCAAUCGGAAUUCUUGGUGUAGCGGUGAAAUGCGUAGAUAUCAAGAGGAACACCUGAGGUGAAGACGGGUUGCUGGGCUGACACUGACGCUGAGGCGCGAAAGCCAGGGGAGCAAACGGGAUUAGAUACCAAGUAGUCCCUGAGCGGGCUGGCAAGGCGCAU
RNAcentral lists this ribosomal RNA (446 nucleotides) under uncultured bacterium. RNAcentral's name for it is "bacterial SSU rRNA". It matches the Rfam family "Bacterial small subunit ribosomal RNA", at positions 355 to 825 of the family's 1533-position model. The record is from RNAcentral.